AGUACAUCGCAGAGAAUCUGGGUCCGCUAUCGCUCAUACGAGCGGUACACUCAAAGACGCAAACACGAAUGUAUAUACUCCGAAAUACGACCACUCCGAGGGAAUGACUACAGAUUUGACCAACAUUACGAGGUUGCCAGUUCUUGGCAAAGCCAGCAACUCUACGCAAGACUGAUCGAUGUUGGAGGAGGCCAGCCACCUAGAAUGCGUAUCAGCCGGCAACUAGGAGGCACGGGCGUUCACUAUACUCUCCUUUUCUGGGAUUCUACGGAGCACUGCGCUAUUUUAUCACUGACGUCGAAUGGUAAGAAAAUCAUCAACAUAUCGCAACUAUGACCUCAGCAGGCCAGAGAAAGAAAGAGAGAAAAGAAAGAAAGUGUCGCGUACGUUAACAAGCAAAGCGUCUUCUUGAAUCGCACAUCCUACGCGGGAGGACAACAGGCCUGUAGAAAGCAAGGA
Dermacentor silvarum is the source of this 459-nucleotide long non-coding RNA. RefSeq lists it as uncharacterized. The transcript has 3 exons. Lineage: Eukaryota; Metazoa; Arthropoda; Arachnida; Ixodida; Ixodidae. The record is from RefSeq and is a predicted model, not a curated record.